GUGAUAGCAAACAUAUGCUUCUGGGACUUUCCAAUGGAUCCUUGUACAGUAUCUCUUGGAAGGGAGAGUUUAUUGGGGCUUUUGAACUUGAUCCAUAUCUACAUGAGAGCAGUGAAGUCUCUAUGUUACCACGCUCUCUAGUUAAUGGCCUUGGUUCUGGAGGGGCCCCAGGGGUCGUUUUACCCAAUUGUUAUGACACAAGGAAGCCUGCCAUUACACAGCUGGAGCUUUGCUUGCCAAUAAGGUUGCUAUUUGUUUUAUAUUCUGAGGGCC
This 273-nucleotide unclassified non-coding RNA is filed under the name Hevea brasiliensis (rubber tree). Lineage: Eukaryota; Viridiplantae; Streptophyta; Magnoliopsida; Malpighiales; Euphorbiaceae. The record is from RNAcentral.